This 217-nucleotide long non-coding RNA is filed under the name Citrus maxima (pomelo). RNAcentral describes it as "long non-coding RNA (CMAX_LNC001194)". Lineage: Eukaryota; Viridiplantae; Streptophyta; Magnoliopsida; Sapindales; Rutaceae. The record is from RNAcentral.
UUUUUUUAAAUUUCUUAUCAAAAGGGGAUGAAACGAAACGAUGCUUUCUCGGAUUCAGAUGAAUAAAAGAUGAAAAUAGAAGCUUGGAAAAAUGGGUAGAGAUUGAACGUGAAGAUAAUUUCUGGGCAAUUUCUAAAAAUAGCUGAAAAUUUGAGGAGACCACAGGUAAGUUGCUUGGCUGUUGGCUAUUUCUUGGGGUACUGUGUCUCUGUGGUCU